CGCUGGCGGCGCGCCUAACACAUGCAAGUCGAACGAGCGAGAGAGAGCUUGCUUUCUCAAGCGAGUGGCGAGCGGGUGAGUAACGCGUGAGGAACCUGCCUCAAAGAGGGGGACAACAGUUGGAAACGACUGCUAAUACCGCAUAAGCCCACGGGUCGGCAUCGACCAGAGGGAAAAGGAGCAAUCCGCUUUGAGAUGGCCUCGCGUCCGAUUAGCUAGUUGGUGAGGUAAUGGCCCACCAAGGCGACGAUCGGUAGCCGGACUGAGAGGUUGAACGGCCACAUUGGGACUGAGACACGGCCCAGACUCCUACGGGAGGCAGCAGUGGGGAAUAUUGCACAAUGGGGGAAACCCUGAUGCAGCGACGCCGCGUGGAGGAAGAAGGUCUUCGGAUUGUAAACUCCUGUUGUUGAGGAAGAUAAUGACGGUACUCAACAAGGAAGUGACGGCUAACUACGUGCCAGCAGCCGCGGUAAAACGUAGGUCACAAGCGUUGUCCGGAAUUACUGGGUGUAAAGGGAGCGCAGGCGGGAAGACAAGUUGGAAGUGAAAUCUAUGGGCUCAACCCAUAAACUGCUUUCAAAACUGUUUUUCUUGAGUAGUGCAGAGGUAGGCGGAAUUCCCGGUGUAGCGGUGGAAUGCGUAGAUAUCGGGAGGAACACCAGUGGCGAAGGCGGCCUACUGGGCACCAACUGACGCUGAGGCUCGAAAGUGUGGGUAGCAAACAGGAUUAGAUACCCUGGUAGUCCACACCGUAAACGAUGAUUACUAGGUGUCGGAGGAUUGACCCCAUCUGUGCCGCAGUUAACACAAUAAGUAAUCCACGUGGGGAGUACGACCGCAAGGUCGAAAGUCAAAGGAAUUGACGGGGGCCCGCACACGCAGUGGAGUAUGUGGUUUAAUUCGACGCAACGCGAAGAACCUUACCAAGUCUUGACAUCCUGCGACGUGCAUAGAAAUAUGUAUUUCGUUCGGGACGCAGAGACAGGUGGUGCAUGGUUGUCGUCAGCUCGUGUCGUGAGAUGUUGGGUUAAGUCCCGCAACGAGCGCAACCCUUACUGUCAGUUAGUACGCAAGAGGACUGUGGCAGGACUGCCGUUGACAAAACGGAGGAAGGUGGGGAUGACGUCAAAUCAUCAUGCCCCUUAUGACUUGGGUUACACACGUAUUACAAUGGCGUUAAACAAAGAGAAGCAAGACCGCGAGGUGGAGCAAAACUCAGAAACAACGUCCCAGUUCGGACUGCAGGCUGCAACUCGCCUGCACGAAGUCGGAAUUGCUAGUAAUCGUGGAUCAGCAUGCCACGGUGAAUACGUUCCCGGGCCUUGCACA
RNAcentral lists this ribosomal RNA (1332 nucleotides) under uncultured bacterium. RNAcentral describes it as "16S ribosomal RNA". It matches the Rfam family "Bacterial small subunit ribosomal RNA", at positions 34 to 1387 of the family's 1533-position model. The record is from RNAcentral.